This 78-nucleotide ribosomal RNA is filed under the name Curvularia trifolii. Its description in RNAcentral is "partial 28S ribosomal RNA". It matches the Rfam family "Eukaryotic large subunit ribosomal RNA", at positions 1 to 77 of the family's 3401-position model. The record is from RNAcentral. RNAcentral also lists the same sequence under 6 other names. Lineage: Eukaryota; Fungi; Ascomycota; Dothideomycetes; Pleosporales; Pleosporaceae.
UUGACCUCGGAUCAGGUAGGGAUACCCGCUGAACUUAAGCAUAUCAAUAAGCGGAGGAAAAGAAACCAACAGGGAUUG